CGGCGGACGGGUGAGUAACACGUGGAUAACCUACCUAUAAGACUGGGAUAACUUCGGGAAACCGGAGCUAAUACCGGAUAAUAUAUUGAACCGCAUGGUUCAAUAGUGAAAGACGGUUUUGCCGUCACUUAUAGAUGGAUCCGCGCCGCAUUAGCUAGUUGGUAAGGUAACGGCUUACCAAGGCAACGAUGCGUAGCCGACCUGAGAAGGUGAUCGGCCACACUGGAACUGAGACACGGUCCAGACUCCUACGGGAGGCAGCAGCG
This 266-nucleotide ribosomal RNA is filed under the name uncultured Staphylococcus sp. RNAcentral's name for it is "partial 16S ribosomal RNA". It matches the Rfam family "Bacterial small subunit ribosomal RNA", at positions 96 to 356 of the family's 1533-position model. Lineage: Bacteria; Bacillati; Bacillota; Bacilli; Caryophanales; Staphylococcaceae. The record is from RNAcentral.